Molecule: ribosomal RNA, 446 nt
Filed under: uncultured bacterium
Lineage: Bacteria
Description: partial 16S ribosomal RNA
Rfam family: Bacterial small subunit ribosomal RNA
Source: RNAcentral
CCUACGGGUGGCAGCAGUCGAGAAUCAUUCACAAUGGGGGAAACCCUGAUGGUGCGACGCCGCGUGGGGGAAUGAAGGUCUUCGGAUUGUAAACCCCUGUCAUGUGGGAGCAAAUUAAAAAGAUAGUACCACAAGAGGAAGAGACGGCUAACUCUGUGCCAGCAGUCGCGGUAAUACAGAGGUCUCAAGCGUUGUUCGGAAUCACUGGGCGUAAAGCGUGCGUAGGCGGUUUCGUAAGUCGUGUGUGAAAGGCGCGGGCUCAACCCGCGGACGGCAGAUGAUACUGCGAGACUAGAGUGAUGGAGGGGGAACCGGAAUUCUCGGUGUAGCAGGGAAAUGCGUAGAUAGCGAGAGGAACACUCGUGGCGAAGGCGGGUUCCUGGACAUUAACUGACGCUGAGGCACGAAGGCCAGGGGAGCGAAAGGGAUUAGAUACCCCUGUAGUC